CCUACGGGUGGCAGCAGUGAGGAAUAUUGGUCAAUGGGCGCGAGCCUGAACCAGCCAAGUAGCGUGAAGGAUGACUGCCCUACGGGUUGUAAACUUCUUUUAUAAAGGAAUAAAGUGAGGCACGUGUGCCUUUUUGUAUGUACUUUAUGAAUAAGGAUCGGCUAACUCCGUGCCAGCAGCCGCGGUAAUACGGAGGAUCCGAGCGUUAUCCGGAUUUAUUGGGUUUAAAGGGAGCGUAGAUGGGUUGUUAAGUCAGUUGUGAAAGUUUGCGGCUCAACCGUAAAAUUGCAAUUGAUACUGGCAGCCUUGAGUACAGUUGAGGUAGGCGGAAUUCGUGGUGUAGGAGUGAAAUCCGUAGAUAUCUGGAGGAACAUCAGUGGCGAAGGCGACUAUCUGGCACAUAACUGACGCUGAGGAGCGAAAGCGUGGGUAGCAAACAGGAUUAGAUACCCGUGUAGUC
Molecule: ribosomal RNA, 460 nt
Filed under: uncultured bacterium
Lineage: Bacteria
Description: partial 16S ribosomal RNA
Rfam family: Bacterial small subunit ribosomal RNA
Source: RNAcentral